AAUAGAUACCCAGGUAGUCCACCCGUAAACGUUGGGAACUAGUUGUGGGGUCCUUUCCACGGAUUCCGUGACGCAGCUAACGCAUUAAGUUCCCCGCCUGGGGAGUACGGCCGCAAGGCUAAAACUCAAAGGAAUUGACGGGGACCCGCACAAGCGGCGGAGCAUGCGGAUUAAUUCGAUGCAACGCGAAGAACCUUACCAAGGCUUGACAUACACCAGAACACCCUAGAAAUAGGGGACUCUUUGGACACUGGUGAACAGGUGGUGCAUGGUUGUCGUCAGCUCGUGUCGUGAGAUGUUGGGUUAAGUCCCGCAACGAGCGCAACCCUCGUUCUAUGUUGCCAGCACGUAAUGGUGGGAACUCAUGGGAUACUGCCGGGGUCAACUCGGAGGAAGGUGGGGAUGACGUCAAAUCAUCAUGCCCCUUAUGUCUUGGGCUUCACGCAUGCUACAAUGGCCGGUACAAAGGGCUGCAAUACCGUGAGGUGGAGCGAAUCCCAAAAAGCCGGUCCCAGUUCGGAUUGAGGUCUGCAACUCGACCUC
This 543-nucleotide ribosomal RNA is filed under the name uncultured bacterium. RNAcentral describes it as "bacterial SSU rRNA". It matches the Rfam family "Bacterial small subunit ribosomal RNA", at positions 777 to 1319 of the family's 1533-position model. The record is from RNAcentral.